This 527-nucleotide ribosomal RNA is filed under the name fungal endophyte. RNAcentral describes it as "eukaryotic LSU rRNA". The stretch from base 175 to 328 matches the Rfam family "5.8S ribosomal RNA". The record is from RNAcentral. Lineage: Eukaryota; Fungi.
ACCUGCGGAGGGAUCAUUACAAGAACGCCCGGGCUUCGGCCUGGUUAUUCAUAACCCUUUGUUGUCCGACUCUGUUGCCUCCGGGGCGACCCUGCCUUCGGGCGGGGGCUCCGGGUGGACACUUCAAACUCUUGCGUAACUUUGCAGUCUGAGUAAACUUAAUUAAUAAAUUAAAACUUUUAACAACGGAUCUCUUGGUUCUGGCAUCGAUGAAGAACGCAGCGAAAUGCGAUAAGUAAUGUGAAUUGCAGAAUUCAGUGAAUCAUCGAAUCUUUGAACGCACAUUGCGCCCCCUGGUAUUCCGGGGGGCAUGCCUGUUCGAGCGUCAUUUCACCACUCAAGCCUCGCUUGGUAUUGGGCAACGCGGUCCGCCGCGUGCCUCAAAUCGUCCGGCUGGGUCUUCUGUCCCCUAAGCGUUGUGGAAACUAUUCGCUAAAGGGUGUUCGGGAGGCUACGCCGUAAAACAACCCCAUUUCUAAGGUUGACCUCGGAUCAGGUAGGGAUACCCGCUGAACUUAAGCAUAUCA